RNAcentral lists this ribosomal RNA (539 nucleotides) under uncultured bacterium. RNAcentral's name for it is "bacterial SSU rRNA". It matches the Rfam family "Bacterial small subunit ribosomal RNA", at positions 777 to 1314 of the family's 1533-position model. The record is from RNAcentral.
AAUAGAUACCCGGGUAGUCCACGCCGUAAACGAUGAGUGCUAAGUGUUAGGGGGUUUCCGCCCCUUAGUGCUGCAGCUAACGCAUUAAGCACUCCGCCUGGGGAGUACGGUCGCAAGACUGAAACUCAAAGGAAUUGACGGGGGCCCGCACAAGCGGUGGAGCAUGUGGUUUAAUUCGAAGCAACGCGAAGAACCUUACCAGGUCUUGACAUCCCGUUGACCACUGUAGAGAUAUAGUUUCCCCUUCGGGGGCAACGGUGACAGGUGGUGCAUGGUUGUCGUCAGCUCGUGUCGUGAGAUGUUGGGUUAAGUCCCGCAACGAGCGCAACCCUUGAUCUUAGUUGCCAUCAUUUAGUUGGGCACUCUAAGGUGACUGCCGGUGACAAACCGGAGGAAGGUGGGGAUGACGUCAAAUCAUCAUGCCCCUUAUGACCUGGGCUACACACAUGCUACAAUGGACGAUACAAACGGUUGCCAACUCGCGAGAGGGAGCUAAUCCGAUAAAGUCGUUCUCAGUUCGGAUUGUAGGCUGCAACUCG